UAGCAUUCAAACACAAAUCCAAAUCAAAACUUAAUCUCCUCAGGAGGAAAAUGAAUCAAAAGAAGAGUUACUUCUAAUUACCGUCUGUCUCCUGAUUGCAGGGUUAUCUGAAUUCAUCUAUGACUAGUAAAUUCAUAAUUUAUGAAGCCCUACUCUGACUGCCACUUGCCUUAAUAGCCCUCAUUUUAGAAAGAUGAUGUCUUCAAGCCAAAGGAUGCUUAACACAAUGUUUAGUGAUGCUGAUGAGCCUUGAUCAAUUAUUCCUAAAGUAAGCACUUGUGAAAAAAGAAGUGAUUUCCUAAUUCAUCUCUGCUUCUCCUCCAGGCCAACUCACCCCACUUCCUUUCUCCCCAACAGAGGAACAGUGUAAGGCUGGAAGGUACAGGAACCAACCCACCUGCUGACUCUGAUUUCACUGAAGAAACCAGAUAAGCAUUUAAUGACUCACCUGUCAAAACUCAUGUUUCUACUCCAUCCUUUGAGAUUUCUACAACCACAAAGAUGUUCCAUGGAACAUGGAUAGAACAUGGAACAUGGAACAAAGAGGCUCCUACUAACUACCAUGGCCAUAAUGUGGGAUUCAGGAAUGCAAUGCAUGUGACAUCUAUCCAACACCUCACAGAACCAUCUGCCCAGCAGCGAACACCUUGGGAAAAGGCCUUCUUGUACAGAUCCUUAUUAUUUUUGCUGAGCAGGUGGUAGCUGCAAUUUUGGCUUUCCGAGGAGCAGCAGUUGUGAGGUUGUGUAUGACAACAGUGGAGGUGGCUCUUUGUGGUGUUCAGUAGAAGAGUGGUGACAGCGGCCACAGUGAUGGGAAUGGUUUCUCCUCAGGCCAGUUCUGGGAUCUGCUUUGGGGCUUUUUUCCUGGACACUCAGUAUCACCAUCCCUGGUUCUCCACCCCUGACAACAUUUUUUCAACAAAUUGCUGUUCUGAAUACUGUAUUUGGAACAAUCCUCAACUGCUUGCAUGUAGGAACUCUGCCUGAGACAGGAGAGGAGGAAAAAUUGUGACCACGAUUUACAUCCUUCUCAAGUCAUAUGAAAACAAGUGACAGUCCUAGUUUGCUGCUGUGGCCAUAACACAGCCCCCAGCGAACACACCACUGCCUUUCAGUGUUCAUGUAUUUUCCCUGUCCUCUUCCAUGUUUAAUCAGGGUUGGGGUGUGUGACCAAAAAAAUACUGAGGAAAUAACAGUGUGUGACUUCCCUGGGCUAGUUUAUAAAGGCAUCAUACCUUCUAUGUUGGCUUCCUGGACCUCUCCUUCUGGGGGAACACCAGCCACCAUGUUGUGAGAACACCCAAGUAGUGCUGUGGAGAUGCUAAACAGAGGAGGACCUGCUCGUCAGCACUGACUUGACUGUUGUAUGAGUGAGCCAUCUCAGAGGGAUCUUCCUUUCUCCCUCACCUUUCAAUACCACAGCUGCCCAACCAAGCUGCUAUUGAAUGCUUGACUCAUAGACACUGUGAAAGAAAGGGAAUAUGGUUGUGUUGAACCACAAAGUUUUGUAAUAAUUUAUUAUGUAACAACAGAUAAACUAAAAUACAGUGUUUGCAGAUGGUUAGUUUCUGUAGGGCAAGGGAAAGCUGAACCUGUUUACAAUAAAGAGAAAGGGACAGAACCCAUGUAGAGGACUGCUGUUCUAAGAGAGAGGAGAAAUAAGUAGAGUUCA
This is a non-coding RNA of Heterocephalus glaber (naked mole-rat), 1672 nucleotides long. NCBI's taxonomy places the organism in Eukaryota, Metazoa, Chordata, Mammalia, Rodentia, Bathyergidae. The record is from RefSeq and is a predicted model, not a curated record.